This 458-nucleotide ribosomal RNA is filed under the name Bacillus sp. (in: firmicutes). RNAcentral describes it as "bacterial SSU rRNA". It matches the Rfam family "Bacterial small subunit ribosomal RNA", at positions 839 to 1298 of the family's 1533-position model. Lineage: Bacteria; Bacillati; Bacillota; Bacilli; Caryophanales; Bacillaceae. The record is from RNAcentral.
UUUAGUGCUGCAGCUAACGCAUUAAGCACUCCGCCUGGGGAGUACGGCCGCAAGGCUGAAACUCAAAGGAAUUGACGGGGGCCCGCACAAGCGGUGGAGCAUGUGGUUUAAUUCGAAGCAACGCGAAGAACCUUACCAGGUCUUGACAUCCUCUGAUCUCUCUAGAGAUAGAGCUUUCCCUUCGGGGACAGAGUGACAGGUGGUGCAUGGUUGUCGUCAGCUCGUGUCGUGAGAUGUUGGGUUAAGUCCCGCAACGAGCGCAACCCUUGAUCUUAGUUGCCAGCAUUCAGUUGGGCACUCUAAGGUGACUGCCGGUGACAAACCGGAGGAAGGUGGGGAUGACGUCAAAUCAUCAUGCCCCUUAUGACCUGGGCUACACACGUGCUACAAUGGACGGUACAAAGGGCAGCAAGACCGCGAGGUGGAGCUAAUCCCAAAAAACCGUUCUCAGUUCGGAU